CUCUCUCUCUCUCUCUCUCUCAUCCAUCUUACCCGGUCUUCGCCAGCAACCAGAGCCCCGAACUCUGUUAAUAUCAAAAUCAAGAUUCUGACAAAAUUUUCAAAGCAGCAUGGAGUGAUGGCCUUUUGUCAUCACCUUCUAAGGUAUGCAAAACCACCACCUCUCUUCCUUGCUUUCUACAUCAAUGUUGCUUCCGCUUUACCUACCCUUUUCGUUAAUGAAAUGCUUGUAAAAUUGGGAAGAUGGAAGCCAAAAUGUGGGUUCUUCAUAGUCUUUAGAAGUUGAUGAUGCGACCCAAGAAAAAUUGGGAAGGCUGAGUAGAACUAGGGUUAAGAAAAUGAACAAAUUGGCCCUUAAGAGGGCCAAGGAUUAGAGAGAAAGGGACAUGAUAUCAUUUUGAUUAAUCUUUCUUUAUUAAUUAUAAAACUCAAUAGAAGAAACUUUUUAUUUUUUUUGUUAAUAUUUGAUAACAGUAGUUUAAUAUUCGGCCAUGAACCAAGCUGCGCCAGUGAAGGUGGCUCUUGGGUUGAUUGGACCGUGCUUGGUUGGCUGUCAAAUAGCAUUUCAAAGAGUUCUUAGCUGCCAGCAGUGGCUCUUCCUCCACUUUCCUUGCCUUUCCUGGUGUUAAUUUGUGAUUGUUUUUGAAGGCGGUAAAGUGUACGGAUUUAACGUUUCAGACUAUUUGAUAAAAGGCAAAGCAAGUGUUUGUAAUCUAUUGCAUACCAUUUGUUUGAUUAUUUUCUAAAAUAAGUGCGUUUUUUCUGGGGAGAGAUUGAUGGACGUCUUUGAUGGGGUUCAAGUUUAGUGGUAAACCAAGCUCAGUUUGGUACAGGCAGUUGGUGAAUGGGGAGGUUAAUGGUAGCGGUGGUAACGGUGGAGACUGGUGGUUGUUGGACGCAAGGUUGGCAAUAGAAUAUUGCAACAUAUUUAUCAACACGCAGCACUAAGAUAAAGAUCAACCCAAAGGGGCCUUGCCCAUGCUUUGAUCACUCUAACUAAGAUGCAGGUGAUUAUUUGAUGAUAAAUAAAGUAGGCAACAUACCUUCAUGGCGGUAUAAUAAGUGCAACCAGGCAAAUUGAUGGGAAUAGAUAAACAGCCAUCGGCAAAAUCUGAGAAUAAUUGAGCCAUCUCGUUAAUUUCUGACUCGGUUGAUACACCCAAUAGUUGAUUAACCAUUAGAUUGAUUGCUAUCUGCAGAGAGAAUCAAAACAAAGGUUAAUUGACUAUAUAAUCAUCGUCCAGAACUAUAAGAUCAUGAACACAAAUUCAAGCAACCUGGAAUAAGACUUGCCUUUCUGCAUACAUCUUGGAGAAGAAUGACGUGGUUGUCAUGGAAGUUGAGAGUUUGAAGGAUAACCAAUUGAAUAUCGUCUAAGAAAUGAAGCUUGAGCUUGUCUAAACGCAUGAUAUUAGAUGCAAUCCCAUGAAGUUUCCUUUGUUGGUCUCCUUGUAGAGUGAUGACCCCAUUUUUUCCAACCAAAUCACGAAAUGAUUUUGGAUAAUUGGAUUCAAACAAUUUGCCUUCAUUUUGCAUUAUAAAUCGAUUGAAAUUUGGGUCUGCUGAUACCACAACCCAUUUCCCAAACAAACUGCAAGAGAAUAUUUUGCCAAAUUUAUUCACCUGUUGAUAAACAAAUUCAGGAGGAUAAGAACCUGCCACUGCUUUAUACCACUGGAAGCUAUCACCAAUUAAAGGCCAACCUCUCCUUCCUGGUGGCAAUUUGUAUUUUCUAGUUGGGUUUUUUUUCCUAGCAAAAACAAUGAAUAACAGUGUUGGGAUCACAAUUGCCCAUGUUAUUAUUGAAAAAAUUUCUCUCAUCUUCUUCAGGGAACCUUGAGGAAACUCACAUAAAAGACUUGAUGAUGAGAUACUCAUCGAGGCUGUCACAAUUAUUCAUCUAUAUAUUAUAUGCCUUCGAGAAACGUGAUAGUAUUA
This 1937-nucleotide unclassified non-coding RNA is filed under the name Hevea brasiliensis (rubber tree). The record is from RNAcentral. Lineage: Eukaryota; Viridiplantae; Streptophyta; Magnoliopsida; Malpighiales; Euphorbiaceae.